GAGAGGCAGAGAGGAAAUAGCAAGCAGCACACGAUUGUUUCCAAGCGAGAGGGUUCCUGGUAGAGAGCCAGGUGCUGGUACCCUGGUAGCCCAUGGAGCUCUGUGGGGCUGAGUGCUUCUCCCUGUGGGGGUAUAAGAAGGGUGCCUGUCCUCAAGCAGACCAAAAUAGGCUGCACUUAUCUCCAAGUGGAGGUCUGCUAUUCCACUUGCGUGCAGGAUACGCAAUACAUCUGGAAUAAUUAAUUUCUUAGCCUAUUGUUACUUUCUUGUGUAUCAGAUGUUUGCUACUUCUGAAGCCUGUUGACUGUAUUCAAUAUCUCUUCCUGUUUAACUUCGUUAUUCCGGUCUUAAAUUUUUUUUUUCUUUUAGGGCACGUCUUUUUAUUUUCCCUUGAACUAGAGAAUUUGCCUGAAGUAUGGAUGAGUCACAGAUACCAUAUUUCCUCUUCUCUGAAGCACAUUUACAUUUUUGAAGAAUUACAACUGACAAUGAUCAGCCAUACUUCCAAAAUAUCCUUUCAGGGAGGAGAAAGGAGGAACAGUGAUGCUGAAAUCAGCCCAAAAGGAGUUAUCAGCAACCAGUCAUGGGUCCCAAUGCCAGUGAUAGUUUUUUCCCCAGGACUUAGCAACAUAAAGCACAAUCUCUAUCCUCUGUUCAAGAGCCAGGAAUAGUGGAAAUGCAAAUGAGCACCAGCAAUCAGCUGUCCAACCACCUCUGACCAUAAGCUUGUUCAAAGUGGCACAUAGUUGAAAAGCAGCAGGCAGUGUCUUAUCUACGCUACAUUUUCUUCUUGACAAUACUGGAGUUAUAAUGUAGGCAGUUUGAAGAAGUUAAAAUCAAAACAGAAAAGGGAAAUCAGUUUUUCUCCUGGGAUUUAAACCAAGAGGAUCUACUACUGCCAAUUACUGUUGUCAUGCCAGAGUAGCUUGAUGUAAACCAGUGGGGUAACA
RNAcentral lists this long non-coding RNA (950 nucleotides) under Junco hyemalis (dark-eyed junco). RNAcentral describes it as "lncRNA (ENSJHYG00000006161.1)". Lineage: Eukaryota; Metazoa; Chordata; Aves; Passeriformes; Passerellidae. The record is from RNAcentral.